Molecule: ribosomal RNA, 457 nt
Filed under: Fusobacterium sp. oral taxon A11
Lineage: Bacteria; Fusobacteriati; Fusobacteriota; Fusobacteriia; Fusobacteriales; Fusobacteriaceae
Description: bacterial SSU rRNA
Rfam family: Bacterial small subunit ribosomal RNA
Source: RNAcentral
GAUGAACGCUGACAGAAUGCUUAACACAUGCAAGUCAACUUGAAUUUGGGUUUUUUAACUUAGAUUUGGGUGGCGGACGGGUGAGUAACGCGUAAAGAACUUGCCUCACAGCUAGGGACAACAUUUGGAAACGAAUGCUAAUACCUGAUAUUAUGAUUAUAAGGCAUCUUAGAAUUAUGAAAGCUAAAUGCGCUGUGAGAGAGCUUUGCGUCCCAUUAGCUAGUUGGAGAGGUAACGGCUCACCAAGGCGAUGAUGGGUAGCCGGCCUGGGAGGGUGAACGGCCACAAGGGGACUGAGACACGGCCCUUACUCCUACGGGAGGCAGCAGUGGGGAAUAUUGGACAAUGGACCAAGAGUCUGAUCCAGCAAUUCUGUGUGCACGAUGACGUUUUUCGGAAUGUAAAGUGCUUUCAGUUGGGAAGAAAAAAAUGACGGUACCAACAGAAGAAGUGACGG